GCUCGGAUGGUGGAAUUGGUAGACACAAGGGACUUAAAAUCCCUUGGGCUUAGGCCCGUGCAGGUUCAAGUCCUGUUCCGAGCA
This 84-nucleotide transfer RNA is filed under the name Candidatus Aerophobota bacterium. RNAcentral describes it as "Candidatus Aerophobetes bacterium tRNA-Leu". It matches the Rfam family "tRNA". Rfam says of the family: Transfer RNA (tRNA) molecules are approximately 80 nucleotides in length. Their secondary structure includes four short double-helical elements and three loops (D, anti-codon, and T loops). Further hydrogen bonds mediate the characteristic L-shaped molecular structure. tRNAs have two regions of fundamental functional importance: the anti-codon, which is responsible for specific mRNA codon recognition, and the 3' end, to which the tRNAs corresponding amino acid is attached (by aminoacyl-tRNA synthetases). tRNAs cope with the degeneracy of the genetic code in two manners: having more than one tRNA (with a specific anti-codon) for a particular amino acid; and 'wobble' base-pairing, i.e. permitting non-standard base-pairing at the 3rd anti-codon position. The record is from RNAcentral. Lineage: Bacteria; Candidatus Aerophobota.